Molecule: small nuclear RNA, 104 nt
Organism: Pan paniscus (pygmy chimpanzee)
Lineage: Eukaryota; Metazoa; Chordata; Mammalia; Primates; Hominidae
Source: Ensembl
AUGCUUGCUUCAUCAGCACAUACACUAAAAUUGGAACAAUACAGAGAUUAGCCUGGCCCCUGUGCAAGGAUAACAUGCAAAUUCGUGAAGUGUUUCAUAUUUAU